Globicephala melas (long-finned pilot whale) is the source of this 3171-nucleotide long non-coding RNA. RefSeq lists it as uncharacterized. The record is from RefSeq and is a predicted model, not a curated record. Lineage: Eukaryota; Metazoa; Chordata; Mammalia; Artiodactyla; Delphinidae.
GCUCCCUGCCCCCCAACCCCUUGGCCUUCCGUGCGUACGCGGCCCGGGGGGCCCUCGCGCCUCGGCGCCAGCAACCCGGCGCGUGAGGCGUCGGACGGCUGAGCGCGCCGGAACGGCGGGCGUCGCGGGGCGUGGCGGAGGCGCCCGCUUGUCCCUCUUUGCUGGUGAGGGCGGUUCGGCGUUCCUUCCCUCCUCACAGUGUUAGUCGGAACCAGGUUGGCACUGCGGCGUCUGCACGAGGAGAAGGGAAGCAUAACAGUUUCAGAAAAAUCGCUGUCUUUGGAGAGAGCAGAGAAUGAGAUGGGAAAAGUCUUCAACUAGCUGCCUGAAAUGUAUCUCAUGAGGAAUUCAGCCAUCUCUGAAGGACUUCUUUGGGAAGAGAGUGAGUCAAGACCUCCAGAAGCCAGAAAGUUCAGGUGCGAAUAAGAUGCUUUGGUCCUGAUACCAGACACCCGAGUGCUGAGGACGGUGUGCAGUGAAGGCUGUUCACAGAUCUCCUGCGUCUGACUUGACAGAGUUGGCGGGCGUGUGCCUGGACGGUACUGCUACCAGCGGCCACUGACACUAGCAAUGUCUGAGUGAUACUGACGGGGUAGCCUCCCACUCGCUCCGCCUUCCAGGAAAGAGGAAGAAUGUGUAGCGAAAAGGACCCAGGACCAAGCCCUGAUGCGCUGAGCCCUGGAACACUCCACCAAUUGAAGGUGUUCACGACUGUUGGACCUCGAGAGGGACAUUGAUGAACCCUGAAAACAAUCAAAGCCAGAUAAGGAAAUGUUUAAUAAGCCUACAGUGUUCUGGUUGAACACUGUGAUUCUUGGAUUAAUCAUUUUCAUCCACGUUUGAGUUUGCACAGCCUCACCCGUAGUGUGUGUGCACGUGCUCUAACUCCACCUCACUCGCAAAAGGCUUACAGCCAAAAUCUGACACUCUCCAACUGAAAAGGCCUUGCCGAGUGAGUCGUACAGCCUAGCUGAGAAGCAAGGAACCCUGGAUCUCUUCUCCACGUGGUGAGGAUACCAGCUUCCCAGUCUCACUCUGAGCUACAGCCAACGUCGAGGAAGCAUAACCUUUUGGAGCUCUCGUUUGUGAUACUUCCUGCUGUGUUCCUGGCACAUGUGAACACACUGAAUUUUUAACUCAUAUCUGAGAACUUGUUUUUGUUGUUGGAUACUUGCCUUUUCCUCCUAUGGUGGGCUUGCGAGUGAUACCCUUGGAUAAAGGGAUUCUUUAUACAUUUUUUAUGGAAUGUUACAUCUGUCCUUUGCUUAAUCUCAGCCCUGCUCUAUCACUUAUGACACUCUCCCCCUAACAAAAACAAGUUUAUCCAAAUUUACACCUCCUUCACAGCUGAUCAACAACUGUGAGAGAAGACGCAUAAAAGAUCAUAAUAUAUUGGAUUGUAUCAAUUUCAUAGCAAUACGUUUACAGGAAUAGAAAUGAAAACAAAUCACCAUUAAUAGAUUGUCCUUAUAUAAAUAGAGAAUGGGAGAGGAGAGAAGAUUGUUCUCUUCUGCUGAGAGAACAGACAGGAAGAAUAGGUAGGGCAUGACUCUACAAACCUCAAAAGUGGUUGUCAUUGUGGGCUUAUAGGACACAUGGUUGGCCCUUCUCAGCUCCUUGAUAGUUUCAGCGGGCAUGGAUUUAGAAAACCCGAGGCCACUCCAGGUAUUUGUGGGUGUUCUGACCUCCGUCACCACCGGUUUCUUUAACAUAGCUUUGGAAAACAGAACAUAAAACAAAUGCUUGGUAUUUUUAAUGAAUUUCUUAAAUAAGAUAUUGAUGAGUAUUGUUUCUUUGAUAUAUGUAAAGAAAUUAUCACUGAAUAUUAUUUCUUAACACAAAAGGCCUUAAAAUAUCCUCAUAAAACAUUUUAUACAAAGUAGUGGUAAACUUUAAAAUGAUACAUUAUUUUUAAUUGAUCUAAUGCUAAUCUACUCAACCUCAACAAAGUUUGUGCAACUUGAACGUAAACAUUCUGGGAUUCCUUUUAUGAAGGUCCAAUUUCUCAGUUCAACAUCAACACUGAAAAACCUUUUAUGUGUUUACUGAAAAAAAAAUCAAAGUAUAGAUCAUUAACGUGUCACAUACCUUUGGUUGCUAAUAACUUUUUCUGUUCAUAGUCAAAUGCCUGAAAAAAAAAAAAACAGAGAGAAAAUAUCUUUAUUGUCAGUCUAUCCAAAUGUUAUGCCAAUACUUCAUGAAAAGAUUUUGACUACAGCCCAUGAAUCUGCCUGGGGCAAACGCUCAGCUCUGCACCAGAAUGUGACAGUAAUCCAUGCAAGUCUGAUAAACUGAAACAUGUUUUCAAAACUAAUUCAUUGGGCUUCCCUGGUGGCGCAGUGGUUGAGAGGCCGCCUGCUGAUACAGGGGACGCGGGUUCGUGCCCCGGUCCGGGAAGAUCCCACAUGCCGCAGAGCGGCUGGGCCCGUGAGCCACGGCCGCUGAGCCUGCGCGUCCAGAGCCUGUGCUCCGCAAUGGGAGAGGCCACAACAGUGAGAGGCCCGUGUACUGCCAAAAAAAACAAACAAACAAAAAACCUAAUUCAUUAUAAUAAUAAAGUACUACUCCCAACUUUAAGUCAUGACAGUGACAAAAGUUAGAAAUUUUCCUUCAAAAAGAAAAAAAUUCCUAUUUACUAUGAAAUAUUUAACACACCAGGACCAAUAUAUGCUAACGUAUAGUGAAUAACCUAAUAACAGUUAUGCUAAGUUUCAAAAUAAUGCAUUAUCAGAAUGCUUAAGCAGUAUAGUAAAAUUAAACCUAAAUAAAAAUAUAAACCUAAAUUUAAAAAAUAAAACUUAGUUAUCUUUUAUUGCACAGGACUAGGAUGGCACCAUUUAUUCUUCCCAUUCACAUUGAAUAAGUGACUAUGACACAGUCGGAUCUACAUAGGGACCAAGGCAGGUCAUUUUGAAGAAAGAAGUCCAGAUAUAGCUACAUCUCAAAUGCUAACCCAGGGUUCUCAACUCGCCAAUUCAGGAACUGGCUUAGACUUGAUUUAAGAAUGUCUCUUGUAAUAAACUGUAACGGAAAAGAAUUUUUAAAAAAGUAUAUAGAUAUAUACAUAUAUGUAUAACCAAAAUCGCUUUGUUGUACAACUGAAACUAACACAAUAUUGUAAAUCAACUAUACUUCAAUAAGUUAAAAAAAAAAAAAGAAUGUCUCAAAGGC